UGCCCUUUCCAUUUGGGGUAACCCUACCAGAAUGUGCGUCAUUAGUAAUGAUGGGGUGCAAAGCUUCUGGGACAAUGUGAGAACCUCUGAAAAUCCAGUUCAGAUAACUUGCUAGGGUAAGGGCUCCAUGGGAAA
Non-coding RNA from Methanosarcina acetivorans, 135 nucleotides. Lineage: Archaea; Methanobacteriati; Methanobacteriota; Methanomicrobia; Methanosarcinales; Methanosarcinaceae. The record is from Rfam.